GGGCCCGCACAAGCGGUGGAGCAUGUGGUUUAAUUCGAUGCAACGCGAAGAACCUUACCUACUCUUGACAUCCAGAGAACUUUCCAGAGAUGGAUUGGUGCCUUCGGGAACUCUGAGACAGGUGCUGCAUGGCUGUCGUCAGCUCGUGUUGUGAAAUGUUGGGUUAAGUCCCGCAACGAGCGCAACCCUUAUCCUUUGUUGCCAGCGGUUAGGCCGGGAACUCAAAGGAGACUGCCAGUGAUAAACUGGAGGAAGGUGGGGAUGACGUCAAGUCAUCAUGGCCCUUACGAGUAGGGCUACACACGUGCUACAAUGGCGCAUACAAAGAGAAGCGACCUCGCGAGAGCAAGCGGACCUCAUAAAGUGCGUCGUAGUCCGGAUUGGAGUCUGCAACUCGACUCCAUGAAGUCGGAAUCGCUAGUAAUCGUAGAUCAGAAUGCUACGGUGAAUACGUUCCCGGGCCUUGUACACACCGCCCGUCACACCAUGGGAGUGGGUUGCAAAAGAAGUAGGUAGCUUAACCUUCGGGAGGGCGCUUACCACUUUGUGAUUCAUGACUGGGGUGAAGUCGUAACAAGGUAACCGCAGGGGAACCUGCGGUUGGAUCAC
RNAcentral lists this ribosomal RNA (609 nucleotides) under uncultured bacterium. RNAcentral describes it as "bacterial SSU rRNA". It matches the Rfam family "Bacterial small subunit ribosomal RNA", at positions 917 to 1526 of the family's 1533-position model. The record is from RNAcentral.